This 502-nucleotide ribosomal RNA is filed under the name uncultured bacterium. RNAcentral's name for it is "bacterial SSU rRNA". It matches the Rfam family "Bacterial small subunit ribosomal RNA", at positions 28 to 526 of the family's 1533-position model. The record is from RNAcentral.
GACGAACGCUGGCGGCGCGCCUAACACAUGCAAGUCGAACGGAGCGUACUGUGUGAAGCCCUUCGGGGUGGAACUUUGUAUUGCUUAGUGGCGAACGGGUGAGUAACACGUGAGCAACCUGCCCUAGAGUGGGGGACAACAUUUGGAAACGAAUGCUAAUACCGCAUAAGACCACGGUGUCACAUGACACAGCGGCCAAAGGAUUUAUUCGCUUUAGGAUGGGCUCGCGUCUGAUUAGCUAGAUGGUGGGGUAACGGCUCACCAUGGCGACGAUCAGUAGCCGGACUGAGAGGUCGAUCGGCCACAUUGGGACUGAGACACGGCCCAGACUCCUACGGGAGGCAGCAGUGAGGAAUAUUGGGCAAUGGGGGAAACCCUGACCCAGCAACGCCGCGUGAGGGAAGACGGUUUUCGGAUUGUAAACCUCUGUCCUCUGUGAAGAUAAUGACGGUAGCAGAGGAGGAAGCUCCGGCUAACUACGUGCCAGCCGCCGCAGUAACAC